GCGGCCCUCGGGGCGCAGGACCACACCAUCUGCGCAGCCUGCACCCUCGCGGCCCGGUAAACUUGACAGUUUCUUAUAGAGAACCUUGUGUCUCACUGUUGUCUCCUUCCUGGCUGGGGUUAUCACAUGGCAUAUCCAACUGUGAGUGUGGGAAGAUGGCAUAAUCCUCUGACUGUGUCAGAGUCUUAGGAAAUUGUGACUGUUAUAAGAUGGCACAAUCUCUUCCCUGAUGUGUGUCAAGUUCUUAGAAAAUUGUGGUGCUGGAGAGUCAGAAUAGCUGAGUGACUGAGUGCACAAUCCCUAAAGUGCAAUUUAUGAGCUGAGUGACCUCAGGAUUCCAUGGAAAGCUUGUGUUUACCCUCAAUAGUUAGAGACGUACAAGGAUGGAGAGGGAACAGAGCCAUCUUCCCAGAACCAACUUCUGCCAGAGGAGUCCCAUGAUAAUCCCAGCCAAAAGAACGAAAACAUGAGUAAUGGCUGUGACAUAAGAAAAUCCUAAGAGAGAAAACAGAGAAAAAGUUUUACGUGAGCGCCACAUUCCAGUUUGCAGAGUUAAGAUAGAUGAGGACAUUCAUUAAAUUCAUGUAUUAAUUCUAAUUCAAGAUGCACUGAAUUUCCAUCAUGUGAAUCAGAUGUUUUAUUUAUUUCUCUCUCAUUGUAUGGAUAAUGUCUAUAACUAGAGAAUGAGACUCAAUCCUACCUUUUCUUCCAAACUGUCUAUCUUCACUAGGGUGGAGUUCUUGUCUAUGCAGUCCUUUCUACUGUUAGCCCAGGUUUUCUCCUCAUUUGUUGUAAAAUAGUAGCAACUAUUUUGGUACCAUUGCCACAUCUUAGGACAUGGAUUACAUCUGUGGUCUGAAAAGGAAAUUAUACCCAAUAAUAUAAACUGAAGACUCUAGAGUGACUGGAGAAGGCUUUGAAACAAAAUCAUGUAAUUGAACAAUAGGGACUGAGAGCCUGCACCCUGAAAGCAUACUGCUUUAGAAGCCUCUGAAAAAAAAGUGACCCCUGGUUAUGGGUUGGGGCAACAGGGAUUCUCUUUUCAUGGCUUAGUCUUCUGACCUCAGAAUUACCAGCUAUGCCUUUAAGCUUUCAGAGCAACAUGAUCACCUAGAAAUAGUUAAUAAAAUGAGGGGUUGAAGUAUCCAGAUUGAUAUCAUUCCAAGAUACUUCCCAAAUUUGCCUGUGGUUUCAAAAAUAUUAAAUGAAUUUGUAUAUUUC
Homo sapiens (human) is the source of this 1221-nucleotide long non-coding RNA. RefSeq lists it as uncharacterized. The transcript is spliced from 4 exons. The record is from RefSeq and is marked validated. NCBI's taxonomy places the organism in Eukaryota, Metazoa, Chordata, Mammalia, Primates, Hominidae.